This 818-nucleotide ribosomal RNA is filed under the name uncultured organism. RNAcentral describes it as "bacterial SSU rRNA". It matches the Rfam family "Bacterial small subunit ribosomal RNA", at positions 607 to 1435 of the family's 1533-position model. The record is from RNAcentral.
GCUCAACUGGGAGAGCUCGUUCAAAAACUCUGGUACUUGAGGUUGAUAGAGGAGAAUGGAAUUCCCGGUGUACUGCCGGAAUGCGUAGACAUCGGGAGGAACACCAGUGGCGAAGNCGGCUCUCUAGGUCACACCUGACGCUGAGGUGCGAAAGCGUGGGGAGCGAACGGGAUUAGAUACCCCGGUAGUCCACGCUGUAAACGAUGGAUACUAGCUCUGGGAGAUUAUUUACCCCUUCUGUGCCGUAGCUAACGCGUUAAGUAUCCCGCCUGGGGACUACGGCCGCAAGGUUAAACUCAAAGGAAUUGACGGGGGCCCGCACAAGCAUCGGAGCGUGUGGUUUAAUUCGAUGAUACGCGAAGAACCUUACCUGGGCUUGACAUGGUGGUAGUAGUGAAGCGAAAGCGGAACGACCCUUCGGGGAUCCAUCACAGGUGCAGCAUGGCAGUCGUCAGCUCGUGUCGUGAGAUGUUGGGUUAAGUCCCGCAACGAGCGCAACCCUCGUCGCUAGUUAUAUGUGUCUAGUGAGACUGCCGGUAUCAAACCGGAGGAAGGUGGGGAUGACGUCAAGUCAGCAUGGUCUUUAUGUCCAGGGCUACACACACGCUACAAUGGCCGGUACAAUGGGUUGCCAUACCGCGAGGUGGAGUUAAUCCUCAAAGCCGGUCUCAGUUCGGAUUGCAGUCUGCAACUGGACAUGCAUGAAGGUGGAGUUGCUAGUACCCGCGCGUCAGCAAUAGUGCGCUGAAUGCGUUCCCGGGCAUUGUACACACCGCCCGUCACAUCAUGGGAGUCGGCAACACCUGAAGUCGGUGACC